Molecule: unclassified non-coding RNA, 375 nt
Filed under: uncultured Alphaproteobacteria bacterium
Lineage: Bacteria; Pseudomonadati; Pseudomonadota; Alphaproteobacteria
Description: contains 16S-23S intergenic spacer region
Source: RNAcentral
UCCGGCUUGGCGCCGGCAGUUCCUCUAGAGUGCCCAACUAAAUGCUGGCAACUAGAAGCGAGGGUUGCGCUCGUUGCGGGACUUAACCCAACAUCUCACGACACGAGCUGACGACAGCCAUGCAGCACCUGUCUCUGCGCCCCGAAGGGACCCUGGAUCUCUCCAGGUAACACAGGAUGUCAAAAGUGGGUAAGGUUCUUCGCGUUGCUUCGAAUUGAGCCACAUACUCCACCGCUUGUGCAGGCCCCCGUCAAUUUCUUUGAGUUUUAAUCUUGCGACCGUACUCCCCAGGCGGGGCACUUAAUGCGUUAGCGCCGGCACUCAGGGGGUCGCUCCCCCAAGCACCUAGUGCCCAUCGUUUACGGCGUGGACUAC